Molecule: unclassified non-coding RNA, 364 nt
Filed under: Hevea brasiliensis (rubber tree)
Lineage: Eukaryota; Viridiplantae; Streptophyta; Magnoliopsida; Malpighiales; Euphorbiaceae
Source: RNAcentral
UUUUGAAGUUCCUUAACCCAGUAUUGUGCUUUGUUGAAUGAUUCUGGACUUGUAAUAUCAUACACAACCACUGCAAGAGCUGCUCCUCGAUAAUAUAGUGGUGCCAAUGCAGCAUACCUCUCCUGGCCAGCAGUAUCCCAUAUUUCGAACUUCACUGUUGUCGAGUCUUGCAAAGCUAUUGUUUGUGACAAGAAAGAUGCACCAACAGUUACCUUUGAUGUGGGAUCAAACUGGCCUCGAACAAAGCGAAGGACAAUACAGCUUUUGCCAACACCUGAAUCUCCCAACAAUACCAACUUGACUUUCAGAUUUUUCGAGUCGGCAACCGGGGACUUCUCGCUGUUCACGCUGUUCAACCGGCCCG